This 229-nucleotide long non-coding RNA is filed under the name Durio zibethinus. RNAcentral describes it as "long non-coding RNA (DZIB_LNC000303)". The record is from RNAcentral. Lineage: Eukaryota; Viridiplantae; Streptophyta; Magnoliopsida; Malvales; Malvaceae.
UGAGAGUCAAGCCAUUAAUUAAUUUGAAUUAUCUUAAUUUUUGGUUUGCUUGGUCUUAAAUUAUUGAUCGUUUUUGUUUGCAUUUAUUUUCAUUCUUUUAUUUUUUAGCUUGGCUUGUGAGAAUUGUAAAUAAAGAUAUACAUAUAUUCUUUCACACACAUAUCACAUGUAUAUACAUCACAUGAGCUCUAUACCCAAGCUUUGUCUUCUUUAGGAAGGAGUAAAGUAU